UCAAGCUGUAAAGGGCGCAAGGGGAAUGCCUUGGCACUGAGAGCCGACGAAGGACGCGACAAGCUGCGAUAAGCUACGGGGAGCCGCAAAUGGGCUUUGAUCCGUGGAUUUCCGAAUGGGGAAACCCGGCAGAGCAAUACUCUGUCAACAUGUACUGAAUACAUAGGUACAUGUGGGGAACCGCCUGAACUGAAACAUCUAAGUAGGGCGAGGAAGAGAAAUCAACCGAGAUUCCGCUAGUAGUGGCGAGCGAACGCGGAAGAGGCCAAACCGGAGGUAGCAAUAUUUCCGGGGUUAGGACUGCAAUAUGUAACUUUAAUCUUUAACUGAAUGCUUUGGGAAGAGCAGCGAUACAGGGUGAUAGCCCCGUAAGUGAAAAGGAUUGAGUGCUAGCAGUAUCCAGAGUACCAGCGGACACGUGAAACCCGCUGGGAAGAUGGGGGGACCAUCCUCCAAGCCUAAAUACUACUCAGUGACCGAUAGUGGAGCAGUACCGUGAGGGAAAGGUGAAAAGUACCCCGGGAGGGGAGUGAAAAAGAACCUGAAACCUUGUGCCUACAAGCACCGAGAGUCCGUUAAUGGAUGAUCGGGUACUUUUUGUAGAACGGUCCGGCGAGUUAAUAUUUGCAGCGAGGUUAAGGAACUGGAGUUCCGGAGCCGCAGCGAGAGCGAGUCUGAAUAGGGCGUAUGAAGUUGCAGGUAUUAGACCCGAAACCGGGUGACCUAUCCAUGAGCAGGCUGAAGCGGUGGUAAGACACCGUGGAGGGCCGCACCCACGUCUGUUGAAAAAGCCGGGGAUGACUUGUGGAUAGCGGAGAAAUUCCAAUCGAACUCGGAGAUAGCUGGUUCUCCCCGAAAUAGCUUUAGGGCUAGCGUUAUUUUAGAUUACCGGAGGUAAAGCACUGAAUGGUCUAGGGGCCGCGAGGUUACCAAAGCCUAUCAAACUCUGAAUGCCGGAUAAUUGAUGAAUAGCAGUCAGACUGUGUGAGAUAAGUCUCAUAGUCAAAAGGGAAACAGCCCAGAUCUACAGCUAAGGUCCCAAAUGAACACUAAGUGGAAAAUGAUGUGAAACUGCGAAGACAACCAGGAUGUUGGCUUAGAAGCAGCCACUCAUUCAAAGAGUGCGUAAUAGCUCACUGGUCGAGUGGUUUUGCGCAGAAAAUGUAACGGGGCUAAGUGUUCAACCGAAGCUUAGGCAUUGCAGUAAUGCAUUGGGUAGGGGAGCGUCGUAUGCGGGGCGAAGUCAGAGCGGAAGCACUGGUGGACUGCAUACGAGUGAGAAUGCCGGAAUAAGUAGCGAGAAUUAUGUGAGAAUCAUAAUGGCCGAAAAUCUAAGGUUUCUUGGGGAAGGUUCGUCCGCCCAAGGUUAGUCGGGAGCUAAGCUCAGGCCGAAAGGCGUAGGCGAUGCACAUACGGUAGAAAUUCCGUAACCACCGAACAUUUAAGCUAGAGGGACGCUUUCUUUAAGGUUAUCCCGGGCGAUGGUUGCCCCGGGCGUAAGGGACCGAAAUUUAGUAGGGAAGUAACUGGCGAGAGAGACGAGAAAAGCUCUAGUGUAUACUAAGGUGCCCGUACCGCAAACCGACACAGGUAGAAGGGAUGAGUAUUCUAAGGCCAACGGGAGAAGGGUUGUUAAGGAACUCGGCAAAAUGGCCCCGUAACUUCGGGAUAAGGGGCGCCUGCGAGAGCAGGCCGCAGUGAAAAGGCCCAAGCGACUGUUUAGCAAAAACACAGCUCUCUGCUAAAUCGAAAGAUGACGUAUAGGGGGUGACGCCUGCCCGGUGCUGGAAGGUUAAGGGGAGUGCUUAGCGCAAGCGAAGGUGCGAACUUAAGCCCCAGUAAACGGCGGCCGUAACUAUAACGGUCCUAAGGUAGCGAAAUUCCUUGUCAGGUAAGUUCUGACCCGCACGAAUGGCGUAACGAUUUGGGCACUGUCUCAACAGCCCGCCCGGCGAAAUUGUAGUACCGGUGAAGAU
RNAcentral lists this ribosomal RNA (1976 nucleotides) under wastewater metagenome. RNAcentral describes it as "bacterial LSU rRNA". It matches the Rfam family "Bacterial large subunit ribosomal RNA", at positions 3 to 2060 of the family's 2925-position model. The record is from RNAcentral.